UAUUAUGUUGGUGCAAAAGUAAUUGCGGUUGUUACCAUCAAAUGUAAUGGCAUUAAAAGUACUUUCAAUGGCAACAACCGCAAUUACUUUUGCACCAACCUAAUAUUUG
This 109-nucleotide microRNA precursor is filed under the name Aotus nancymaae (Ma's night monkey). RNAcentral's name for it is "miRNA (ENSANAG00000005788.1)". The record is from RNAcentral. Lineage: Eukaryota; Metazoa; Chordata; Mammalia; Primates; Aotidae.